AUGAUAAUUAAAACCUUGUCACGAUUUUCACAUCUUUUCGAAAAAUCAUCAUUUUUCAAAAAAUUCGAUCAUGGAAAAAAAAAAAAAAUUACAGCAAACUCAAACAAUAAAAAUUAAAAAUUAGGUUUAAUACAUCAUGAUAAUCAAAACUUUAUCACGAUUUUCACAUCUUUUCGGAAAAUCAUCAUUUUUCAAAAAAUUCGAUCAUGGAUAAAAAGAAAUAAAAAAAAAAAAG
RNAcentral lists this long non-coding RNA (235 nucleotides) under Amborella trichopoda. RNAcentral's name for it is "long non-coding RNA (ATRI_LNC001246)". The record is from RNAcentral. Lineage: Eukaryota; Viridiplantae; Streptophyta; Magnoliopsida; Amborellales; Amborellaceae.